CAGCCCGGUCCCUUUUUCCGAGGAAGAGCUGGAUUUUUUCACCAGUACGCUCUGUGCCAUCGACCUGCAGUUUCCCUAACCUGUUUCCUCCUCCCGGUCCUUUCGACCCCCGCGCUCCUUGGCCGUCUACUGGAAAAAUCGAGCCUCUCCCACCCUCAGUCGCAUAGACUUAUGUGUUUUGCUAAAAUUCAGUGGAGCCCAACGGACGCUGAGGACGCGAGAUGGAAGGAGAGUCCGGGUGGAUGUGGGAAGGGAAGGAGAGCGGCGGGUCUGCGGGCCUGGGUGUGCCUCAUCCAGUCUGACUUUUGAUUCUUCGCUGUGGGAUUUGAAGCCAGGCCAGAGCUUUCUCUGAAUGCAGACCCACCAGUCUUGACCAACAACUUCAUUUCACGUAUCAACACCAUGUCCUGUCUAUCCCCCACCACACCCUGCCUGGUUCCUUGUAAACCUGGUAAGCGGGAAGCAAGGAUCGAUCUCCCCCAUCUGCCUCCUGGUUUGUUCUGGGAAGGUGGAGGUUUAAAGGUCCCCGGAAAGCCAUCCAUCCUCCUUAGGUUUCUUUAAUAUUUCUCCCGCUCAGAAACAGACACUACGGGGCUAUCUCCCCGGCAGAUGCUGCCCUUCUCAAAAAGCAGUUUAUUUCCUGGGCCUCCAGACUUUCCCCUGGACCAACAGGACCGGGAUUUAGAGUACCAGUCACCCAGAGGCAGCAAUUGUCAGGAUAAGCCAGGAGCCAACAUAGGUUGUGACACAGAGGACUAGACAGGCCCUUUGCAUAUUUUAAAAUGGGUCCCUCAGUGUGGGAAGUACACACCUCUUAGUUAGCUGGAACUUAAUCCCUUAAACUGUCUUAAUAUAGAAUUCAUCUCGUGCAUUAAUCUUACAUCAUGUUAAAUUGCACUUAUUUCUCUCAUAAAUAAAUAUAGAACAAUU
RNAcentral lists this long non-coding RNA (930 nucleotides) under Homo sapiens (human). RNAcentral describes it as "non-protein coding lnc-HOXB2-1:1". The record is from RNAcentral. Lineage: Eukaryota; Metazoa; Chordata; Mammalia; Primates; Hominidae.